Molecule: ribosomal RNA, 273 nt
Filed under: uncultured Sphingobacteriales bacterium
Lineage: Bacteria; Pseudomonadati; Bacteroidota; Sphingobacteriia; Sphingobacteriales
Description: partial 16S ribosomal RNA
Rfam family: Bacterial small subunit ribosomal RNA
Source: RNAcentral
UUAGUUGCCAUCAGGUUAAGCGUGGGGACUCUAAAGGAACUGCCUACGCAAGUAGUGAGGAAGGCGGGGAUGACGUCAAAUCAGCACGGCCCUUACGUCCAGGGCUACACACGUGCUACAAUGGCCGAUACAGAGGGCAGCUACCUGGUGACAGGAUGCAAAUCUCCAAAGUCGGUCUCAGUUCGGAUCGGAGUCUGCAACCCGACUCCGUGAAGUUGGAUUCGCUAGUAAUCGCGCAUCAGCCAUGGCGCGGUGAAUACGUUCCCGGGCCUU